Sapajus apella (tufted capuchin) is the source of this 96-nucleotide long non-coding RNA. RefSeq lists it as uncharacterized. The record is from RefSeq and is a predicted model, not a curated record. The transcript is spliced from 3 exons. Lineage: Eukaryota; Metazoa; Chordata; Mammalia; Primates; Cebidae.
AUGCCAGAUGUAGUUAGUUAAGUUGAGGUCAUUAGGGUGAACUUAAUCCCAUACAACUGGGUCCUUAUAAAAAGGGGAAAUUUGGACAUAGAGACA